This is a long non-coding RNA of Sphaeramia orbicularis (orbiculate cardinalfish), 171 nucleotides long. RefSeq lists it as uncharacterized. Lineage: Eukaryota; Metazoa; Chordata; Actinopteri; Kurtiformes; Apogonidae. The record is from RefSeq and is a predicted model, not a curated record. The transcript is spliced from 3 exons.
UCUUCAGGUUUGAACUAACAUCUGAAAAGGAUGAAGGGUGUUACGAUCUUUCUGAUAUUGUCACUGGUCGUCCUCAUGGCUGAACCUGGCGAGUGUAUUUGGAGAAAAUUGUGGAACGCUGGAAAGACCAUAAUCAAAACAUUGGGAAGAGAUCAACAAUAAUUCAUGGAC